UACAUUUGAACAGUCUCGGUGACUAAGACUCCAGGUCAGAAACUUGAAGCAUCGUCUUGACGACUGCUAGUGCCUCCGGUUGCCCACAGCAUCAGGGAACUAGCUAUAAGACUGAACAAUCAAAAAAAGAAACUAGCAAACUCUUACCAUAGUAGAAAUGCUGAAAUCAGAACUUUUUGCAGAAGUGUCUUUUGAUGAUGAUGAGGAGGAGGAGGAGGAGAAAUUAGAGGAUAUGGGCAGAGAAGAACACCAGAAAGAAUACCAAAGAACUACUGUUCAUAGAAAGAUGGAGACCAAGAAGUAAUUCAGAGAUAAUAAAGAUGAAUAAGAUUGGACAAGGGGAAAAAAUGAGAAUCAAGACCUAUUAUGUAAAGGUACAGAAUCCCAAUGAUGAAU
This 396-nucleotide long non-coding RNA is filed under the name Fukomys damarensis (Damara mole-rat). Its description in RNAcentral is "lncRNA (ENSFDAG00000030039.1)". The record is from RNAcentral. Lineage: Eukaryota; Metazoa; Chordata; Mammalia; Rodentia; Bathyergidae.